RNAcentral lists this ribosomal RNA (1524 nucleotides) under Triticum aestivum (bread wheat). RNAcentral's name for it is "partial small subunit ribosomal RNA". The record is from RNAcentral. Lineage: Eukaryota; Viridiplantae; Streptophyta; Magnoliopsida; Poales; Poaceae.
AUGGGGAAGGCGGCGGCGGUGGGGACGGCGGUGGUGGUGUGCGCGGCGGUGGGCACGGCGGUCGUGCUCGGCCGGCGCCGCCGCCGCAGGGACGCGGAGCUGCUCGGCGCGGCCGAGGCCGAGCGCAAGAAGAAGGUGGCGGCCGUCAUCGAGGACGUCGAGCGCACGCUCGCCACGCCCACGGCCCUGCUGCGGGGCAUCUCCGACGCGCUCGUCGUCGAGAUGGAGCGCGGCCUGCGCGGGGACAGCCACUCCCAGCUCAAGAUGCUCAUCAGCUACGUCGACAACCUCCCCACCGGAGACGAACAUGGCUUGUUUUAUGCAUUGGAUCUUGGAGGUACCAACUUCCGUGUUCUGCGAGUCCAACUUGGAGGAAGGGAGAAACGUGUUGCCAAGCAACAGUAUCAGGAAGUCUCUAUUCCACCACACCUCAUGGUCGGAACUUCCUUGGAACUAUUUGAUUUCAUUGCUUCUGUAUUGGCCAAAUUUGUUGAAACUGAAGGUGACGAGUUCCACCUCCCAGUGGGGAGGCAGAGAGAGCUGGGUUUCACCUUUUCCUUUCCGGUAAACCAAUUAUCAAUAUCAUCAGGAACACUCAUCAAGUGGACAAAGGGAUUUUCAAUCAACGGCGCGGUUGGUGAGGAUGUUGUGGCUGAGUUGAGCAAGGCCAUGGAGAGGCAGGGGCUGGAUAUGAAAGUUUCAGCACUGGUUAAUGACACAGUCGGCACAUUGGCUGGCGGGAGAUAUAUGGAUAAUGAUGUGGUUGCUGCCAUAAUAUUGGGCACUGGUACAAACGCAGCAUAUGUUGAGCAUGCUAAUGCAAUUCCUAAGUGGACUGGACUACUGCCGAAAUCCGGAAAUAUGGUAAUCAACACGGAAUGGGGAAGCUUUAAAUCGGACAAGCUUCCACUUUCAGAAUACGACAAAGCAUUGGACUUCGAAAGUUUGAACCCUGGAGAACAGAUAUAUGAAAAGUUGAUUUCCGGCAUGUAUCUUGGAGAGAUUGUGCGAAGAAUCUUACUGAAACUGGCUCAUGAUGCUGCAUUGUUUGGGGAUGUUGUUCCAGCUAAGCUGGAAAUGCCAUUCGUACUUAGGACCCCAGAUAUGUCUGCCAUGCACCACGAUGCAUCACAUGACCUUAAAAUUCUGGGAAGUAAGCUAAAGGAUAUCGUUGGGGUUGCAGAUACUUCCCUGGAAGUAAGAUACAUUACUCGUCACAUAUGUGACAUCGUUGCAGAGCGCGGCGCACGCUUGGCCGCUGCUGGCAUAUAUGGCAUCCUGAAGAAGCUAGGCCGGGACAAGGUGCCAAGGGACGGCAGCCCGAUGCCAAGGACCGUGGUUGCCUUGGACGGUGGGCUCUAUGAACAUUACAAGAAGUUCAGCAGCUGCUUAGAGGCGACUCUUUCAGAUCUCCUCGGGGACGAGGCCUCUUCUUCGCUGGUUGCCAAGCUGGCCAAUGACGGCUCUGGCAUUGGAGCUGCUCUCCUCGCCGCUUCGCACUCCCAGUACGCUGAUAUCUACUAG